CCCCUCUCAAAACUGCACCUGGAGAGUUUCCGGUACUCUACCAGUUUCAGCUACAGGAGAGAGAGUUAAGCAGAGGCCUAACCAUUCCAUUCCUAGCUUGGGCAGUGGCUAGCAAGUGGAAGGCAAUCUGCUACAUUC
This 138-nucleotide small nucleolar RNA is filed under the name Ornithorhynchus anatinus (platypus). Lineage: Eukaryota; Metazoa; Chordata; Mammalia; Monotremata; Ornithorhynchidae. The record is from RNAcentral.